This 502-nucleotide ribosomal RNA is filed under the name uncultured bacterium. Its description in RNAcentral is "partial 16S ribosomal RNA". It matches the Rfam family "Bacterial small subunit ribosomal RNA", at positions 30 to 523 of the family's 1533-position model. The record is from RNAcentral.
AUUGAACGCUGGCGGAAUGCUUUACACAUGCAAGUCGAACGGCAGCACGGGUGCUUGCACCUGGUGGCGAGUGGCGAACGGGUGAGUAAUACAUCGGAACGUACCCUGACGUGGGGGAUAACGUAGCGAAAGUUACGCUAAUACCGCAUACGUCCUGAGGGAGAAAGCAGGGGAUCGUAAGACCUUGCGCGUUAGGAGCGGCCGAUGGCGGAUUAGCUAGUUGGUAGGGUAAAGGCCUACCAAGGCGACGAUCCGUAGCGGGUCUGAGAGGACGACCCGGCACACUGGAACUGAGACACGGUCCAGACUCCUACGGGAGACAGCAGUGGGGAAUUUUGGACAAUGGGCGAAAGCCUGAUCCAGCCAUUCCGCGUGAGUGAAGAAGGCCUUCGGGUUGUAAAGCUCUUUCGGCAGGGGAGAAACGGUUUUGGAUAAUACCCAGAACUAAUGACGGUACCUGAAGAAGAAGCACCGGCUAACUACGUGCCAGCCGCCGCCGUAA